AGAUAGAGUAAAUGACUUUUUUUCUUUUUCUUUUUAGAGACAGGGUCUCACUCUGCCACUCAGCCUGAAAUGCAGUAACGUGAUCAUAGCUCACUGCAGCCUCGAGUUCCUGGGCUCAAGCAAUGGAAAUAGCCUUUGGGUAGAGUUGUCUUUCAGGAGGUGUAGCCUGGUUGUGGCCUGGGGAGUUUGGCUGUUCUGUGUGGUGUGCCUCCACGGUGUGGUCUCCAGUGAGCUGCUCAGCAGGCCCCCAGCUCAAAAGCCACAAAAAGAAAAGGUGGUCAGAGAGCUUCUCCUACCCUGGAGAAUCCUGUAGGCAACUCUUUCUUCACACUUGGCAGUUUUCCCUCUUCUCUGCCAUGCUCCC
RNAcentral lists this long non-coding RNA (364 nucleotides) under Pan troglodytes (chimpanzee). Its description in RNAcentral is "lncRNA (ENSPTRG00000052955.1)". Lineage: Eukaryota; Metazoa; Chordata; Mammalia; Primates; Hominidae. The record is from RNAcentral.